RNAcentral lists this ribosomal RNA (253 nucleotides) under uncultured bacterium. Its description in RNAcentral is "partial 16S ribosomal RNA". It matches the Rfam family "Bacterial small subunit ribosomal RNA", at positions 524 to 776 of the family's 1533-position model. The record is from RNAcentral.
UACGUAGGGUGCAAGCGUUGUCCGGAAUUAUUGGGCGUAAAGAGCUCGUAGGCGGUUUGUCGCGUCGAAUGUGAAAACCCGGGGCUCAACCCCGGGCCUGCAUUCGAUACGGGCAGACUAGAGUUCGGUAGGGGAGUCUGGAAUUCCUGGUGUAGCGGUGAAAUGCGCAGAUAUCAAGCGGAACACCGGUGGCGAAGGCGGCCUUCUGGACAGUGACUGACGCUGAGACGCGAAAGCGUGGGGAGCAAACAGG